UACGAAGGGUGCAAGCGUUACUCGGAAUUACUGGGCGUAAAGCGUGCGUAGGCGGUUUGUUAAGUCUGUCGUGAAAGCCCCGGGCUCAACCUGGGAAUGGCGGUGGAUACUGGCAGGCUAGAGUACGGCAGAGGGGGGUAGAAUUCCACGUGUAGCAGUGAAAUGCGUAGAUAUGUGGAGGAAUACCGAUGGCGAAGGCAGCCCCCUGGGUCGACACUGACGCUCAUGCACGAAAGCGUGGGUAGCAAACAGG
RNAcentral lists this ribosomal RNA (253 nucleotides) under uncultured bacterium. RNAcentral describes it as "partial 16S ribosomal RNA". It matches the Rfam family "Bacterial small subunit ribosomal RNA", at positions 524 to 776 of the family's 1533-position model. The record is from RNAcentral.